GCUGGUAAUCCUUAUUGUCCUCCCGCAGCUCCUUUCCUGGCAGGGGGGGCAGGUCAUCUGUGUUCACACUCAGCAGCUUUGGCCACACUUUGCAGCGAAUCUCAUCUGUCAGCAGCCCUCCUUCACUGAUGGCCAUUCGUCUGAGAGCUGCCACGUCGAUAGGGUCGCUGUUCAGGGCCUGGUAAAUUUCUGCCACUUUUCUUUUCUUCUUCGAGUCAAAGUCGUGGCCGCCGACGCCGUUGCGCGGCGGGCUCCGCCGGGCCAUGUUGCCGGGCGCUGCGGCGCAUGCCGGGCCGACGGCCGGGCCGGGUUGGGGCUGGGCGCUCCCGCACCGCCCGCUCCUGUCCCGUCCCUUCCGCGCCCCCACCCGCUCCCCCGCCCCUCC
This 385-nucleotide long non-coding RNA is filed under the name Gallus gallus (chicken). Lineage: Eukaryota; Metazoa; Chordata; Aves; Galliformes; Phasianidae. The record is from RNAcentral.